RNAcentral lists this ribosomal RNA (465 nucleotides) under Vreelandella stevensii. RNAcentral's name for it is "partial 16S ribosomal RNA". It matches the Rfam family "Bacterial small subunit ribosomal RNA", at positions 338 to 795 of the family's 1533-position model. Lineage: Bacteria; Pseudomonadati; Pseudomonadota; Gammaproteobacteria; Oceanospirillales; Halomonadaceae. The record is from RNAcentral.
CCUACGGGAGGCAGCAGUGGGGAAUAUUGGACAAUGGGCGAAAGCCUGAUCCAGCCAUGCCGCGUGUGUGAAGAAGGCCUUCGGGUUGUAAAGCACUUUCAGUGGGGAAGAAAGCCUUGGGGCUAAUACCCUCGAGGAAGGACAUCACCCACAGAAGAAGCACCGGCUAACUCCGUGCCAGCAGCCGCGGUAAUACGGAGGUUGCGAGCGUUAAUCGGAAUUACUGGGCGUAAAGCGCGCGUAGGCGGUCUGAUAAGCCGGUUGUGAAAGCCCCGGGCUCAACCUGGGAACGGCAUCCGGAACUGUCAGGCUAGAGUGCAGGAGAGGAAGGUAGAAUUCCCGGUGUAGCGGUGAAAUGCGUAGAGAUCGGGAGGAAUACCAGUGGCGAAGGCGGCCUUCUGGACUGACACUGACGCUGAGGUGCGAAAGCGUGGGUAGCAAACAGGAUUAGAUACCCGUGUAGUC